Molecule: long non-coding RNA, 1146 nt
Organism: Hippopotamus amphibius kiboko
Lineage: Eukaryota; Metazoa; Chordata; Mammalia; Artiodactyla; Hippopotamidae
Exons: 3
Source: RefSeq, a predicted model, not a curated record
GCAGCCACUCACACUCCAAGAACGUACAGAACACCCGCAGGCGUGGCUACCUCGUGCCAAAUACUUCAUUUCUGACGGAGCAAAGGACAACUUGGUAAGACGCAAGUCCCAAGCAAACAAACCAGAAAAAAAAGGACACCCGUAAAAGAAGCAAUGAAACUCCAAUGAUAAUUACCACAAAGCAAUGGCGAACUGCAACAUUAUAAGAAAAAGCAAACUGUCACUGUUUCCCUACUUCUACGGCUGGAUGGGAUUUGGAAACACCGUGUUCACCCUUCUAAGACUUGCUUUUCCCCUGAGCCACUCUCUGAGGAGCCGCCCACCUCCCCUGCUACCUUCUCCAAGGGGCUGACGCGUUCAUAGUGCAGGGCAGCAGAAUUUGCCUCCCCAAAUACGUCUCUUGGGCAUGUUAAUUAUUUUAAGCUGGUUAUUUUCUAAGAAACAGCAGGCAUGGGAAAACUCUGAAAACCAAGUAGGAGUUCCCCUUUUGUGAGGAACAUUUACAUUUGUAAGGGAAUCGCCCUGUGUGAGGGUGUCUCCCAGAUCUCUAGACGCGAUAGGCAGGCAAGCCCUUCAGCCUGUGUAACAACCUUGCCCUGGUUUACUGUGCUUUUCCUGCCCCCACCCCCACCCCGCCCCCACAGGCUCCCCAUCCUCGACCCCCUCCAGGAUGGUACUGGAGGUGAGGGCUUCCUCCGUUUUGACCAGCCGGACGAACCUGGAAGGUAGCGGAAAAUUUCCUCCUCCCCAACAACAGUCUUGGCCCCGCAGCCCCCGAUGCUUCAUUUCAUGUCUCCCCACCAAGGAAACACGCCUUUGACGCCACGUCGUAGACUUGCUUGGUCUCAAGACUCGGCCACGGCCACGGACAUGUGAAGGAAGGUCAUGGUGUGGUGGUAACCUCAAGGACCACCUGAACCUGCCCGAGAACUGCCUGAUGCCAGCCUUGAUGAUCUCAAAGUUUCCUGAGGCAAAGAAGAAUGCAAGAUUGCAUCUGCCCUCAUCCCCAUCUGCAGCCAUGCUUUUCACUCCUGAACUGUAAGACCCCUUCCUGUUCCCUCCAGAAGGAGACGCAGUCUUGAGCGUGUUAGUCCUCUGUGGCCCCCUUUUCCUGGCAAAGCAAUAAAGGCUACUCUUUUCUACUUC